RNAcentral lists this unclassified non-coding RNA (273 nucleotides) under Hevea brasiliensis (rubber tree). The record is from RNAcentral. Lineage: Eukaryota; Viridiplantae; Streptophyta; Magnoliopsida; Malpighiales; Euphorbiaceae.
CACAAUGGGCAAUUUCCACAAUGCCGCCAGGUUCAAACACUCAAAGAAUUGUCCAUUAUUACAAGUUCCAUCUCCAAAAAACGCCAAUGUCACAUCCUCGCUAUCUCCCUCCUUCAAAACCUCCCUUUUAUACUUAGAGGUAAAAGCUGCACCAGUUGCUACUGGAAUUCCCUCACCAAUAAACGCAAAACCACCAAGCAAAUUGUGCUCUUUCGAAAACAUGUGCAUAGAUCCACCUUGGCCUCGACAACACCCGGUGGUCUUGCCAAAGAG